Molecule: long non-coding RNA, 1252 nt
Organism: Chelmon rostratus (copperband butterflyfish)
Lineage: Eukaryota; Metazoa; Chordata; Actinopteri; Chaetodontiformes; Chaetodontidae
Exons: 3
Source: RefSeq, a predicted model, not a curated record
GCGGUGUAAUUUGAAACCUAAGAAUCUGCAGUGUAACCCGCCUCUCUUGUGCCCGUCUGUAUAUGUUUCUAGAAAUUUUAACGAAUAAAACACAGAAGAAUAAGAUAAAGAUAAAAGAAAACAUCUUUCUGUGGUUUACUAUCACGUUUCGGACUAAAUAUUUUUGCUGCAGUGGACCUUUGUGGAUGUUACCAGGCCAUUUCUGGCGGAGUGUUACAGAUCUGUGGAUCACUGAGAGACGCCAUCGCUCUGGAUUGGUCUCCACUACGGCCGACCCCGAGUGAACCAGAGUCAACUCUGCACUGCAGGAUAGCAGCAAGGCCGACUGGGAACCGUCACAUACCGAGUCUGGACUCAAAGUUUCCCGACUACAAAGCUGGGAUGGAAAUGAAGGGCAGCACGCCGCCGAGCACAGCGACUUGUUUCUGCCGGCUGCUCCGAUGCUGAAUGUUGACGGGUAAACUACUUCUGAACCCGCCGCUGAUACGACGAACAAAGGCGUCAGAGAGUCUUCAAGGGAAAACUUGAGAGUCACAGACUGUGACAGGAGGUGCGUGUGGUGCGCUGAAGUGUGCUGUGACUUCGCAGAGGCUGUGAACAUUCUCAUAAUCGUAGGAGGAGAUGUUACAGGGCAGCUGAUGGUGAACAGAGGAACAGAAUUCACCAACCGCCAGCACUGUUCCACCACUAAAGCACAUCUCUAGAAGGUGAUUUCCAGAGGACACAGAACAGCAGGGUAAACCAACAUGACAUCUGAUUUAGGUUUGGCUUGUCACUGAACAUGAAUACACAUCGGGCUGACAUCACUUCCCUUUCCUUUCAAUCAUUUCCCAAUGUGAAUUCAAACCGCCAGUCUCUCAAUGACUAGAUAAAUACUGCUUUUCAACUAGUGAACACCGUCUUCUUCCUCAAACCACUGAUGAUUGAUGCCAUCAUGAACAAGUUGCUAUAAUGAAAGUUAGGUGUGAACAGAGGAUGUAGAAUGAGGAAAAGGAAGAUGAGAAACAGAAAAAAAAAGUACAUUACAGAGGGCAGGGAAAGUGACGGAUGCCUCUGCUGGCUGGGAAACAAUGUUAAGUUCUGAUCAACUAGUAAUUCGUUGUGGUAUUCUCACUGUCUGCAGCUCAAAACGCAUAUGAAAACAGCAGGUUAUAUAGUGUAAUCUACAAAGUGCAAACUAAAUAAAAACUCAGCAUCUUCAGCAGCCCACAAGUCUUUCCACCAAUAAAGCUUUAAAUUGAUUUAAUGUGGA